Molecule: long non-coding RNA, 244 nt
Filed under: Elaeis guineensis (African oil palm)
Lineage: Eukaryota; Viridiplantae; Streptophyta; Magnoliopsida; Arecales; Arecaceae
Description: long non-coding RNA (EGUI_LNC060887)
Source: RNAcentral
UAGUCCGAGUAGAGCUCUUCACCAAAGUCACAAUCCAAUUGGACUCUUCAGCCAUCAGAUUUGAUCAAAUCUUCUAAUAUGUAUGACCCCAUAAGUUUGAUCCUAAGUCAGUAGCAUAAAAAUAACUUUCUAUACCAAUUAAUGUAACUAUCUAGUAAUGAUGACCUGACGAUCGGAUAGGUUGAAGUAUUGCAAAGCAACCUUCUGAACCCUACUGGCGUAUGAUUACCGUAUAAUUCAUCUC